RNAcentral lists this ribosomal RNA (484 nucleotides) under uncultured bacterium. Its description in RNAcentral is "partial 16S ribosomal RNA". It matches the Rfam family "Bacterial small subunit ribosomal RNA", at positions 30 to 507 of the family's 1533-position model. The record is from RNAcentral.
AUUGAACGCUGGCGGCAUGCCUAACACAUGCAAGUCGAGCGGAUGCAGGACGCUUGCUCCUGUCUUGUGCCGCAGGCGGGUGUGUUGUAACUAAAAGUGUCCCGUCUCGGGGGGUAUCACAUCGCUAGAGUAGCUCUUAUACCAUACCCGCUCUGAAUGCAAACGGGGGGGAUCAACGGACCUCGCGCUUUGAGCUGCCGCUAUGUCGGAUUAGCUAGUUGGUGGGGUAAAGUCCUACCAAGGCAACUAUCCAUAGCUGGUCUGAGAGGAUGAUCAGCCACACUGGAACUGAGACACGGCCCAGACUCCUACGGGAGGCAGCAGUGGGGAAUAUUGGACAAUGGGCGAAAGCCUGAUCCAGCAAUGCCGCGUGCGGGAAGAAGGUCUUCGGAUUGUAAAGUGCUUUUAUUCGGGACGAAGCGCCGUUGGUUAAUACCUGGGGCUAUUGACGGUACCAAAAGAAUAAGCACCGGCUAACUACGUG